Molecule: ribosomal RNA, 679 nt
Filed under: uncultured delta proteobacterium
Lineage: Bacteria; Deltaproteobacteria
Description: bacterial SSU rRNA
Rfam family: Bacterial small subunit ribosomal RNA
Source: RNAcentral
AACGAACGCUGGCGGCGUACCUAACACAUGCAAGUCGAACGAGAAAUUCCGAUUCGUCGGGAGAGUAAAGUGGCGAACGGGUGAGUAACGUGAGGGUAAUCUUCCCUUAAAUUAGGAAUAACCUUGCGAAAGCGAAGCUAAUUCCUGAUAAGACUACGAUCUGUUAGCAGAUAGCAGUAAAAGAUGGCCUCUGUUUUAAGCUAUUGUUUAAGGAUGAGCCCUCAUACUAUUAGCUAGUUGGUGAGGUAAUGGCUCACCAAGGCGACGAUGGUUAGCUGGUCUAAGAGGAUGGCCAGCCACACUGGAACUGAGACACGGUCCAGACUCCUACGGGAGGCAGCAGUGAGGAAUAUUGCGCAAUGGGGGAAACCCUGACGCAGUGACGCCGCGUGAGUGAUGAAGGCCUUCGGGUUGUAAAGCUCUGUUAAGUGGAAAGUACCAUUCUAGUGAUAAUACCACUGGAAUCUGACGGUACCACUAGAGGAAGCACCGGCUAACUCCGUGCCAGCAGCCGCGGUAAUACAGAGGGUGCAAGCGUUGUUCGGAAUUAUUGGGCGUAAAGAGCGUGUAGGCGGUUAGACAAGUCAGUUGUGAAAUCCCUUAGCUCAACUGAGGAAGUGCAUUUGAAACUGUCUGACUGGAGUACAGGAGAGGAAAGUGGAAUUCCCAGUGUAGAGGU